Molecule: non-coding RNA, 72 nt
Organism: Phrynosoma platyrhinos (Desert horned lizard)
Lineage: Eukaryota; Metazoa; Chordata; Lepidosauria; Squamata; Phrynosomatidae
Source: the annotation of a GenBank genome assembly
GCCAGUGAGGUGUAGUGGUUUGAAUGUUUGACUACGACUCUUGAGAGCAGAGUUCAAAUCCCUGCUCAGGCA